This 557-nucleotide ribosomal RNA is filed under the name uncultured bacterium. Its description in RNAcentral is "partial 16S ribosomal RNA". It matches the Rfam family "Bacterial small subunit ribosomal RNA", at positions 355 to 902 of the family's 1533-position model. The record is from RNAcentral.
UGGGGAAUUUUGGACAAUGGGCGCAAGCCUGAUCCAGCCAUGCCGCGUGCGGGAAGAAGGCCUUCGGGUUGUAAACCGCUUUUGUCAGGGAAGAAAUCUUCUGAGUUAAUACCUCGGGAGGAUGACGGUACCUGAAGAAUAAGCACCGGCUAACUACGUGCCAGCAGCCGCGGUAAUACGUAGGGUGCAAGCGUUAAUCGGAAUUACUGGGCGUAAAGCGUGCGCAGGCGGUUUUGUAAGACAGAGGUGAAAUCCCCGGGCUCAACCUGGGAACUGCCUUUGUGACUGCAAGGCUUGAGUGCGGCAGAGGGGGGAUGGAAUUCCGCGUGUAGCAGUGAAAUGCGUAGAUAUGCGGAGGAACACCGAUGGCGAAGGCAAUCCCCUGGGCCUGCACUGACGCUCAUGCACGAAAGCGUGGGGAGCAAACAGGAUUAGAUACCCUGGUAGUCCACGCCCUAAACCGAUGUCAACUGGUUGUUGGGAAGGUUCCUUCUCAGUAACGUAGCUAACGCGUGAAGUUGACCGCCUGGGGGAGUACGGCCGCAAGGUUGAAACUU